AGAAUCAACGCUGGCGGCGUGCCUAACACAUGCAAGUCGAACGAGUAAAGGGACUUCGGUCCCGAGUACAGUGGCGCACGGGUGAGUAACACGUGACUAACCUACCCUGGAGUGGGGAAUAACUGAGGGAAACCUUAGCUAAUACCGCAUAAUACCUACGGGUCAAAGGAGCAAUUCGCUUCAGGAGGGGUCGCGGCCGAUUAGCUAGUUGGCGGGGUAAUGGCCCACCAAGGCAAUGAUCGGUAU
Molecule: ribosomal RNA, 246 nt
Filed under: uncultured bacterium
Lineage: Bacteria
Description: partial small subunit ribosomal RNA
Rfam family: Bacterial small subunit ribosomal RNA
Source: RNAcentral